This 5045-nucleotide long non-coding RNA is filed under the name Aquilegia coerulea. Its description in RNAcentral is "long non-coding RNA (ACOE_LNC001630)". The record is from RNAcentral. Lineage: Eukaryota; Viridiplantae; Streptophyta; Magnoliopsida; Ranunculales; Ranunculaceae.
UCCAACCAGAAUGAUGUAGCUCAUCACCCACGUGCGGCACUGGAAGCCUAUGGAUAACUUGUGAAUAGGUAGGUGAAUUUGGAUCAACAUCCACUGUAGCCAAGUAAUCAGGCUUCUGCCUUCCUGUCCCUAUAUAGAUAAUUUACAAAUUUAGCACAAUUUUCAUCAUAAACUCACUUUAUUUUCUAUUCACAUACUGAAAGGCUCUAAUUGGUUGCUUAAAGGAAUGCUACAAAAAGUUCAUGUGAAACCACCUUCAUGAUCCUUACUACUGCUGCAUAGGUAAUCAUAUGACUUCAUUGCUGGAUCAUAGUUUAUCACCCAUCUUAACAUUGUGAAGCAAAACUUGAAUCAAUAGAGUAAUGUUUAUCAAUUAGUCAUUAACAAUAGCAAUAUUGCCAAUUAUUCCAAAUGUGUUGGACUAUAAGAAGCCUGGGACUAUAAGGUUGGAAAACUACUCCUUCAACAAAUGAAGUAAUGAACUGCCACAUAUCAUCUUCAUUCAAUGGUGAUAAGGCGCAGGUGGCAAUUCAUGUUGAUGAUGGAUUAUACCUCCUAACUCUGGUCCUUCAAUCAUCUAUCUAGCUAUCUGAUUAAACUUAAUCAAGAAAAUGAAAAGAGAAGCAAGAAAUUUGAGAAAAUUAUUACCUGAAUAAACACAAGUAGUAUAAAGAAUAGCUUCUUUAGGACCAGACAUGGCUUCAAGAGGAGUAGCAUAACCUGGUCCAGUUUUCUUACAAUAAGACCCUACUCCAUUCACAGCCACACUUGCGUAUUCCACUGCACUGCUUGCCAUUUUCCCUUCUCCACCUCCUCUCUCUUUUCUGCUCGACUGCUCCUUUUGAAGAAAUACUGUGUGGAACUGCAGGAGAUUGUGUUGUGUGCUGACAAAAAAAAUUAUCUGUGUUUCCUCUAGUAUGUGGUUCGUGUGAUGUGAUCCCAAUCACAAUAUGCCACAUGUCUAUAAAUUAGUUGGAUAACUGAUUCAAACCCACUAGGGUUAACUACACCCAUACUAGUCUAUAUUUUUGUUAACACGUGGCGCGAUGAGAUUGGGACCACGCGACCCACAUACUAGAGGAAACUUACGUAUCAUUCGCUGUAUUCUUGUAGAGUUGUAUGUCAUCUUUCGUUCCUCACAGUAUGCCUUCAAAAGGAGCAGUCGAGCAGAACUACGGUGUUGGUUAUGACACGAAAACGGAAGCAGUGGNNNNNNNNNNNNNNNNNNNNNNNNNNNNNNNNNNNNNNNNNNNNNNNNNNNNNNNNNNNNNNNNNNNNNNNNNNNNNNNNNNNNNNNNNNNNNNNNNNNNUUACUUUGGCAUGCCAAAAAAAUAGUCCAUGCCAACCCUAUUUUACACACGAAGAAGAUAACUACCAAUCGCAUCAUGCCACGUGUUAACAAAAAUAUAACCUAGUAUGGGUGUAGUUAACCCUGGUGGGUAUGACUCGGUUAUCAAACUAAUUUAUAGGCACGUGGCAUAUUGUGAUUGGGACCACAUGAACCACAUACUAGAGGAAACACAGAUAAAAUUUGUUGUGUGCUCAAAAAAUUUUAUCUGUGUUUCCUCUAGUAUGUGGUUCAUGUGGUCCCAAUCACAAUAUGCCACGUGCCUAUAAAUUAGUUUGAUAACCGAUUCAAACCCACUAGGGUUAACUACACCCAUACUAGGUUAUAUUUUUGUUAACACGUGGCAUGAUGCGAUUGGUAGUUAUCUUCUUCGUGUAUUAAAUAGGGUUGGCAUGGACUAUUUUUUUGGCAUGCCAAAGUUAAAUGGCAUGCCGUUUUGCCAUGUCUUUUGCUUCCCCUUGCAUACAUGGCCCAUUUUUCUUGUGUACCAUAUAUACAAAGUUUGGUUGCACUAUAUAAUUUUGUUUAAAUAUAAUCACACUAAAUUAACAAUAAUAGAAUAUAUUAAAAAAAAAUUAGAAUUUCUUUAGAAGAUAUUCAAAUAAAAAAAAACACACAUAUUUAUUCAAAGUCUAAGUUUAAAAGUACCUUGUACUAAGAGCUUAAGACGUCAAUUGCACCAAUUGCUAAUCAAAUACAUUCUUGGAUAAUGAGAUUUUUUAUUCAUUAAAGCGUUUUUGUUACGUGUGAAAUUCUCCAGUUACAAGAACUUUGACAUUUUGUCUCUGUUUAUUACACAGCUUUCAGAAUCUCUCUGUGUGCUUGUCAUACAGUUUUCAAUCUCUAAAUCCAUAUAUCUGAAGUGCAGUCACCACCAGGAUACCGCAUUUCAUGAGCUAAUGAUGGGCCUUCUGGUUCUUGACUAAAAUCAACGUAAAAGUUUGGGUUUAUAACAAGACCUCCACUGAUGGUGUUAACGUCAAUUUGUAGCAUAUGAGACCCUUUCUCUACCAUCUCUGGAUAGAACUGACGGUCCCAAGCACUGAAAAGUGAGUUCGUAACAUAGAGUCGCUUCCCAUCUAAGCUAAGUUGGACCAUUUGAGGUCCUCCUCUCAGCCGAUUUCCCUGAAAUGAAGAAUUGUAACCACCUAGUUAGAAUCACGAUGGUCCAUGCUAUGAAUAUAUCAGCAUCCGAAAAAUAGUUUGUUUGUGUCAGGGAUGAAUUUUGAGCAUUAUGAUUAAACAUUUUUAAAAUCAGAUAAUAUGACUUCACUCUUCAGGUGAUUGCAUAUAAUAAACAGAAUUUGUUCAGUCAACCACAUAUGUUUAAGAUAGAAAAUCAUGCUUACGUUUGGUUUGCCAAAAUAACUAGGAUUGCCAAAUAGAUACCUUAAUUUCUGGAACUUCAAAUUGCUUUUCAUUGCCAUCUUCAUCUUCUGCCACAACUGGGCUUCCCUUUUGAAUCAGUCCCCCGACCCACACUUGGCCUGCCAAUACAGGCUUCUUGGGAUCUUCAAUGUUAUAUUGUCUGAUAUCUCCAUGAAGCCAGUUCACGAAGUAGAGGUAGCGGUCAUCAAGAGAGAUGAGAAAAUCAGUAAUAAGACCCGGCAUUUCUGGAAGAAUCCAAUUUUUCACCUUUAAUGGUUGCACAGAUAUUGCUACCUACAAAGUAAAAUCAUGAGUACCUUGAACUUCAAUAAGAAUGUUAAACACAGAAAACUAGAUCAGAAUUUGAAUUUGUGUAAGAAGUUGUACAAUACCUCAUGACUCCAUGAUCCAUCAUCAGUCUUGAAGAAUCUGACCAUAUUGCUGGUUAGUGCACACCCUACAUAUCCAGUAUCCUUGGAAGGAUCAUGAAGGAACCUGAUCUGCAAGGUCAAGAAUCAAAUACAUUAUUUUGGGUACAGCAUGAGAUAUACCAAGAUACAAGGCCAUUCCGUAUUCAGUAUCACAGUAGAGGGUUAGAAAAGGUACACAUACCUCUAAAGGUAUGAGCCCUGUGUUACCAAGAUCCAUUGUUUGUUUUAGUUCACCAUCAGGCCAGCUAUAUACAUGUAGAUGUCUUCCAUAUAGACCAUCUGAAACAUGUUGGAGAUCAAAGCCUUUUGUAAAAGCUGCAGGAGCUCCCCAUGAUGAGCUGAUCAUUGUCUUGUGCCGGGGUUGGUACCAGAAAUCAUAUCCAAAAAGAGGACUGUGACCAGGUUUCUCCCACCUGUACAAUGAGAGACAUAUUGCAAUUAAAACAAAUAAGCAAUCUGCUCAAAAGCUAUGGCACAUAUGUCAUACUAGGCUACUAGCCAUUAGGGGCAUGUUAUCACAAGAGAAGAGAUGAUAUAUUGAGGGGCAUCUGUUAGCUGUUCCUACUGGUUCAAUGCAUUUCAUGCAGUAUGCAUGCAGAACUAACCCCAUUUCUUAAAUUAUUCUUAUUUAAAGCAUCAAAAUGAUCCAUGAUAACACGAUUGUUUCGUUUAUUUAUUAGGAGUUUUUAAUCUUUUUUGGUUGUUGAUGGAACAUGUCUACUUCCACUAUACCAAAGAAAAUAUAAAUAGCAGUAUAAUCUAACCUUCCUUUCACAUUGAACUCUGAAUCAAGAAGAAGAAACCCGUUUCCCUCAGCAUUUCCUUCUUUAUCUCCAAGGCAGGACACCAAGAUAUCACCAGAAGCUAGGCAAUGAGAUGUAUGGGGAAAUGCUAACCCAGUCUUUUGAGCGAUAUCUUCAGGCUCGACAACUUUAUGCAGAACAGGAGCCUUAGGAUUCUUUUGUGUGUCAACAACGUAUAUGCGACUUGACCUGAAAGAACAUAAAAAAAAUGUAUUCAUAGGUGGUAUAUUUAGAGGUGUAUACAAUAUACUGUUCACUACUAAUAAAAGCUAGAGUGAUAUAGAAUAUUGGAGCAAAAAACUCGAACAAUAAUAUCUACCCUACAUAAUCUAGGUGACAUUUGUCAAAAUUCAUCUUCCUGGGAAGUAAAUUGUUGCACCACUUGUGGACUAUAGGAUCACUUGCCAGCAGAAUCUGUAUUCUGUAAGAAGAGCUUCACCAAAUCCAAGGUGAUGUAAACACUUUGCUUCAUUGGCAACAAUUUUUGAGGAACACAGAAGCGGCGUUGAAUUAUAUUCGCGUAAAGAUAUGUUAUUUGAAAGCCCUUGCUUACAACAGUCAUACCAAGUUGCUUGCUCAUCAAUUUCAUCAACAAAUAUCACAAAGAUUAUUGGAUCUGAAUCUUACACUAAUGAUGGCAAAACCAGGAAACGCCGACUAGCUGAUGCAUCUCCGUGGCAAGAACUGCAGGAGUUCCAACCAGAAUGAUGUAGCUCAUCACCCACGUGCGGCACUGGAAGCCUAUGGAUAACUUGUGAAUACGUAGGCGAGUUUGGAUCAACAUCCACUGUAGCCAAGUAAUCAGGCUUCUGCCUUCCUGUCCCUAUAUAGAUAAUAUAAUAAAUUUAGCACAAUUUUCAUCGUAAACUCAGUUUAUUUUCUACUCACAUCUAACUGGAUGCUUAAAGGAAUGUUGCAACAAGUUUAUGUGAAACCACGUUGGCAACUUCAUGAUCCUUGCUACUGCUGUACAUAUUAUUAAUUUAUCUUUUCAAUAGAUAAUCAAAUGGCUCCAUUGCUAGAUCAAAGUUUGUCAAAAUCAGUCAAAUUGCCAAAAACCGGUAUGAUUUUACAUAUCUUAACAUUGAAGCAAAU